This 508-nucleotide ribosomal RNA is filed under the name uncultured bacterium. RNAcentral describes it as "bacterial SSU rRNA". It matches the Rfam family "Bacterial small subunit ribosomal RNA", at positions 101 to 641 of the family's 1533-position model. The record is from RNAcentral.
UACGGUUGCGUAACACGUAGCUACUUGCCCCACAGUGGGGGAUAACCCGGGGAAACCCGGGCUAAUACCGCAUACACCCGAGAGGGGAAAGCCGAAAGGCGCUGUGGGAUAGGGCUGCGGCGUAUCAGGUAGUUGGUGGGGUAACGGCCUACCAAGCCGAUGACGCGUAGCUGGUCUGAGAGGAUGAUCAGCCACACUGGAACUGAGACACGGUCCAGACUCCUACGGGAGGCAGCAGUGGGGAAUCUUGGNCAAUGNGGGAAACCCUGACCCAGCAACNCCGCGUGGAGGAAGACGCCCUUCGGGGUGUAAACUCCUUUUGCAGGGGAAGAGAGAGACGGUACCCUGCGAAUAAGCUCCGGCUAACUCCGUGCCAGCAGCCGCGGUAAUACGGGGGGAGCUAGCGUUACUNGGAAUCACUGGNCGUAAAGGGUGCGUAGGCNGCUUACUAAGUUGGGAGUGAAAUCCCACGGCCUCANCCGUGNAACUGCUUCCAAAACUGCUAAGC